GUGAAAGGUUAGUAAGUUUUCAAAAAAAAAUUAAUAAGUAAUAAUAAAUCAAUCUAGUAAUAAAUAUUCCUAGUAACCUUAAGUGAUCGUGUUUAGUGUAGACGCAUAUUCCAGCAAAGGUUUGAUUCAAGUACAGUAGAGUCUUAGCAAGGAUAUUAGCAAAAUCUAUUGUACAUCUCUUUACAAUCAUUUUGUUAUUAACAAAACCUGUCAUUCUAAGGGUUUUUGAUACAAUCUCAGAUAUAUGAAAUUUAAAUGAUAGAGAAGAGUCUGAUACAACUCCAAGAUUGUUGAAAAUUGGAAAGAUCUGAAUGUAAACUGAUCCAGUCAGUAAGGAAAGAGACAGCUAGAAAACAUUUCAGGUCAUCAACAAAACAUAAGUGAAAAAACCUGAAAAAAACACUAAUAAUAAAAAAAGAAGCGACAACAAAUGUCAUCUUUGAGUGACACCUGAAGGAACACUUAUAGCUCAUAUAUAAAAGAUAUAAGACCAGAAGUACACCCAGAGGCCAGAGACAAAAAUGCAAUUGUGUGAAUAAAAUUCGGUAUUAUAGGUAAGGCUGUUAUGGAGAGAAUACCUUUUGGCUUUUGGUUAUAUAUAUUGGCAAUAUGUGAAUUUGAAUUCUUUUGAAUAAAACCAUAACUGAUUUGAUUAACUAUAUUUUGAAAUAAAUCGGUAAUUUUUAUCGAUUUUUAUUCCUCAA
Molecule: long non-coding RNA, 704 nt
Organism: Anthonomus grandis grandis
Lineage: Eukaryota; Metazoa; Arthropoda; Insecta; Coleoptera; Curculionidae
Exons: 3
Source: RefSeq, a predicted model, not a curated record